GCCAGCAUGGUGCGGCGGUUUGAGCACAGGACUAGGACUCUGGAGGUCAGGGUUCAAUUCCCUCCUUGGCC
Non-coding RNA from Phrynosoma platyrhinos (Desert horned lizard), 71 nucleotides. Lineage: Eukaryota; Metazoa; Chordata; Lepidosauria; Squamata; Phrynosomatidae. The record is from the annotation of a GenBank genome assembly.